UACGUAGGUGGCGAGCGUUGUCCGGAUUUACUGGGCGUAAAGGGAGCGUAGGCGGACUUUUAAGUGAGAUGUGAAAUACCCGGGCUUAACUUGGGUGCUGCAUUUCAAACUGGAAGUCUAGAGUGCAGGAGAGAAGAAUGGAAUUCCUAGUGUAGCGGUGAAAUGCGUAGAGAUUAGGAAGAACACCAGUGGCGAAGGCGAUUCUCUGGACUGUAACUGACGCUGAGGCUCGAAAGCGUGGGGAACAAACAGGAUUAGAUACCCGGGUAGUCCCUGA
This 277-nucleotide ribosomal RNA is filed under the name uncultured prokaryote. RNAcentral's name for it is "partial 16S ribosomal RNA". It matches the Rfam family "Bacterial small subunit ribosomal RNA", at positions 524 to 800 of the family's 1533-position model. The record is from RNAcentral.